RNAcentral lists this ribosomal RNA (867 nucleotides) under uncultured Bowmanella sp. RNAcentral describes it as "bacterial SSU rRNA". It matches the Rfam family "Bacterial small subunit ribosomal RNA", at positions 634 to 1502 of the family's 1533-position model. Lineage: Bacteria; Pseudomonadati; Pseudomonadota; Gammaproteobacteria; Alteromonadales; Alteromonadaceae. The record is from RNAcentral.
UGGCAGUCUAGAGUCUUGGAGAGGGGAGUGGAAUUCCAGGUGUAGCGGUGAAAUGCGUAGAGAUCUGGAGGAACAUCAGUGGCGAAGGCGGCUCCCUGGCCAAAGACUGACGCUCAUGUGCGAAAGCGUGGGUAGCGAACAGGAUUAGAUACCCUGGUAGUCCACGCCGUAAACGCUGUCUACUAGCUGUCUGUGGCUUUAAGUCGUGGGUAGCGCAGCAAACGCGAUAAGUAGACCGCCUGGGGAGUACGGCCGCAAGGUUAAAACUCAAAUGAAUUGACGGGGGCCCGCACAAGCGGUGGAGCAUGUGGUUUAAUUCGAUGCAACGCGAAGAACCUUACCUACUCUUGACAUCCACAGAACUUGGUAGAGAUACCUUGGUGCCUUCGGGACCUGUGAGACAGGUGCUGCAUGGCUGUCGUCAGCUCGUGUCGUGAGAUGUUGGGUUAAGUCCCGCAACGAGCGCAACCCUUGUCCUUAGUUGCCAGCCUUAAGUUGGGCACUCUAAGGAGACUGCCGGUGACAAACCGGAGGAAGGUGGGGACGACGUCAAGUCAUCAUGGCCCUUACGAGUAGGGCUACACACGUGCUACAAUGGACAGUACAGAGGGAAGCGAGACCGCGAGGUGGAGCGGAUCCCUUAAAGCUGUUCGUAGUCCGGAUCGGAGUCUGCAACUCGACUCCGUGAAGUCGGAAUCGCUAGUAAUCGCAGAUCAGAAUGCUGCGGUGAAUACGUUCCCGGGCCUUGUACACACCGCCCGUCACACCAUGGGAGUGGGCUGCAAAAGAAGUAGGUAGCUUAACCUUCGGGAGAGCGCUUACCACUUUGUGGUUCAUGACUGGGGUGAAGUCGUAACAAGGUACCCG